Molecule: long non-coding RNA, 1288 nt
Organism: Maniola jurtina (meadow brown)
Lineage: Eukaryota; Metazoa; Arthropoda; Insecta; Lepidoptera; Nymphalidae
Exons: 3
Source: RefSeq, a predicted model, not a curated record
CAUAAUAUAAUAUAAAUAUUAUGUAUGUAUGUAUUUUAUUUAGAAUAAGUAUGAAUAAAAGACUUAAUUGUACUAUUAUUCCGUCCAGUCCAAGAGCUGUAUCCAUUGCCUUCCCUAAGAGGUAAGAUAUCUUGCAAAAUUCUGUCGAAAUCGUUUGAGCGGUUUUGGUAACAAACAGACAGAGUUACUUUCAAUUGCAUUCAAGUUAUCAUGCAACUGGAUUUCAGCCUUUAGUAGGCAGGUUUAGUUUAAACUUAAUAUAACUAUUUUUAUAUAAUAUUGUACCUAAUAGAAAUUUUUGUAACCCACCUCGGAAUAACAUUAGCGACAAGGUUGCCAAAUUAUAUAAUUUGUUAUGUUUACGUGUUUGCGUUCGGCGUACUGAUUUGUGUACAUAUAUUUUUUAAAUAACGAGCAAACGAGCAGGCGUGUCACAUGAUGUUAAAUGAUUACUGCCGUCCAUGAACAUUUGUAGCACUAGAGGAACCGCCGAUGCGUUGCCGGCCAAUAUUUCAAUAAAGGUCGUAGCUCACUUACACGAUACAGCUCCCGCACGAUAAAAGAAUAAACAUUCAAAUAUGGGCUUAAAGUCGUACUCUGUACAGUGAAAACAUAGAGUUGCAAAUAACGUGCAGCACGCGAGCUUGCCGUAAUCUAGCCAUUCGAUGGUUGACGUUUCGCUUACCGUGCGCUUCAAGCGAGUGCCGCACGCUGUAGCCGCGUGCGGGCCACUCGAGCAAGUUGUAACGUGCGCAGUAAGGAGACACCGUACUACUAGCUGUCAUCGCGUGGACAGCAAGCUUUCUGCUAGCUGUCGGCGCGUGGACAACUAGCGUUACCUUCGAUUUGAGGCGGAGCCGUGCGUGUGGUGUGUGGGAGCGGUGUCGUGUAAAUGAGCUACCGCCUUUAUUUAUUCAUUUACACGAAUGACAGCUGAUUUCUGUAAGUUUUAUAGCUAGUAGACAAUAGACACUUAGCAUUAUACAUAAAAUGCCUUUGCAUAUAUUAUAUCCCAGUUCUCAUAUAGGUACUUAGAUUUUUUGGUUACUAUUACCAACCAUAGGGACGCAAGCUUUGUGCAUUUAUUUGUAUAAAAAUAAGAGUAUAAUAAUUUAAUAUAUUGUGUAUUUUAAUGAAUCUCUAGUGACAUAGUGUAAUGAAUUUUAAUAUUUGUAUGACAAUGAUUAUUUAUCCGUCCAUUUUACAUUGAAUACUUAUUGUAUGUUUAUUACCGACCAUUCCGACGUGUGCCUCGAAUACUUAGCAAUAAAGUGUGGAUUUUUUAUGA